UACGUAGGCAGCAAGCGUUGUUCGGAGUUAUUGGGUUUAAAGGGUGCGUAGGCGGUCUAUUAAGUCAGUUGUGAAAUACGGCAGCUCAACUGUCGAGGUGCAAUUGAUACUGAUGGACUUGAGUACUGAUGAGGUAAGCGGAAUGGACGGUGUAGCGGUGAAAUGCUUAGAUAUCGUCCAGAACACCGAUAGCGAAGGCAGCUUACUAAGGAGUAACUGACGCUGAGGCACGAAAGUGUGGGGAUCAAACAGG
This 253-nucleotide ribosomal RNA is filed under the name uncultured bacterium. RNAcentral's name for it is "partial 16S ribosomal RNA". It matches the Rfam family "Bacterial small subunit ribosomal RNA", at positions 524 to 776 of the family's 1533-position model. The record is from RNAcentral.